AUCCUCACGCCAUGCGUUGCUGACAGUCGUCAGCGGCAUGCCCUGGCAGUCUCGGUCUUCAAGACUGCAACGCGGUUCGCCGCGUUGACCGAUCCAGUCCGCUUCGCAUCGCCCACCGCGGACGCUCGCCGGCCUGGCGACGAUGC
Molecule: non-coding RNA, 146 nt
Organism: Thauera sp. 63
Lineage: Bacteria; Pseudomonadati; Pseudomonadota; Betaproteobacteria; Rhodocyclales; Zoogloeaceae
Source: Rfam